AAAAAACAUGGCGGUUAUUUUCUUGCAGCACCAAAAGAUCAGGGUAUGAUCAACAUCCUCCUUCAUGUCUCCUGAGCUUCCCUCCAUUUCUGAUCCAUCUCUUCAUUCUCCUCCCCCCUCUACAGUAUCUGAAGAGCUCCUCUGAGGAUAUCUCUCUUUCCCCAGAUGGUUGGAGAUUGCCGCUCUCCGGUUGCUGACACAGAACGGUCCCUGUUUCUUUGUUUCCACUGGUGACAGGCAGAGCGGAUGGGAGCUCUUUCCAGUAGGUGAGAUAUGAUUGUGUUGGUUUACACACUCCUCUGCACACACAAACAACCUCAAAGGUUUGAAGACACCAGACACCACCCUUCAUGCAGCCGUGGUUGUGCGUCCCCUCUAUGCCCACCUCCUUGUUAGGGUGCGAGUGCACGCACCUGAUUGAUCACCUUUUGUUUUAUGUACAGUGGAGCAGCAAGAGUUGUGUGAUUUGUUUAUGAUGUCAAACAGCCUCACUCUCGAUGUGCGUGUGAGAGAGACAGGGAGAGAAAAAUACAUACAGGAUGGAUUUUUUUUUUCCUGCCCUCUGGCCCACAUGCACACACACCAGCGCGCACACACACACACACUCAAAGUGUCAUGAGACUGUCAGCAAUGGCUUUGGCUACAACUCCUCCAGGCAUGUGGUCCUGCCACCUAUAAUCUACAAUGAGCAGAAAUGAGUUUCCUUUGUAGACGCUGCCUUUCCUGGACACACACACACACACACACACACACAUAUAAGCUAAUCAUACAUGCAGCUGGUGUAAUAAUAAGGCAGGGUGCAGACAGUGCUGGAAUAACUACUGAGACAGGGUGAUAUUUCACAACCUCAAUAAUUGGAUACGUCUCUAUUCCCUAAUUACGAUCUAAAUCACAUACGCUGCAGCUCCAUACAUACAGUAUACAGAUAAAACAGAAAUGACACACGCUCACACACACACACACACAUAUUGUGUCUGUAAAUUUAUGCAUGAGCAAAUUCAAGCGUGAGUCUCACUGACACACACUCACAUGCAAACAAAACAACAAAAAACAUGUUCGUACAUGUACAUGUAAGUUUCCGCCGUCUCGUAAAAGCUGAUGUUUUAUACAACGCCAUAAUGUGUAACGUGCUGCGGUUCUACAUCAGCUACUUAUCAUACUUUUAUGCAGUGUGAAGCAGCUUUUGUCGUAUAUAAAGUACAUGCAUUAUGAAAGAAGUGUCUUUUGAGAAGUAGCAGCACUACAUCAGGGCACGGUGGGUGUUAGCAUGCAUGGAAAUAAACACUGAAGAGAGUUUUCUCGCCGUGUGAGAGCUCUGAGGUCAGUGCACGGGAAAGAAGAGGAGCUUCACACCACGGCGACAUUGUGUUGGUUGUAUUUCAGCGUUUUGGUCUAAACCACUGAAUCAUUUUAAGAGUUUUUUUCUCGGUGGCAGAAAACACAAUGUAAGCUUCUUUUGUGAUACUCUAUUGAUCUCUGGGAGGAAAAUAAUCCUUUUGCUUGCGCCUUUGCAGGGAGGUCAGAGAGCAGGGUUAUCUACAGAGCAGUGUCAGGUUAGAAAAUAUGAGCACCAUUAUCAGCAGCAUAGCAGCCAGCUGUGGAGAACAAACCCGAGUCAAGAGGCGGACGAGAUGGGAGUGUCUGAUAUGUGGUCCGGCUAAAGUUGACAUCUCAUAGACUGUAUAUACUACGGACGACUUGGUCCCGCCUUCCGCCAGUUAACGGGUUUGAAGACGAAAAACUCUUCGUAAUUCCGCGUUUUUUCCUUCACUUCCAGAAACCAACAUUACGCAGUAGCGUUGUACACAUUUGGUGGGAGAGUCGCUGUGAUGAUGCUCGGCUCAAACAGCAUAACCCACCGAUGCGAUAUUUUUUUCCGUUGCAUGGUAGGGGAAGGUCCCGCCUCCUUCACCUCUGAUUGGCUAGAAGUGCUCGGCUCCGAUUGGUUAUUUCUUAUGGCUGUAAAACGUCAUCGUCUGUCGGGUUAAGGUUAUGGUAAGGAGAUUCAGGAGUGCGAUAAUGUUCUGUUCGAUGUACAGAGCCGAACGCCCGUGCUCAGCUUGAGUGUGUGAUGAUGUUUCCAGCUUUUCUAGCCAAUCAGAGGCGAAGGAGGCGGGACCUUACUAUCCUAUAUAAAAAAUAUGGCCCCCCUAGUUAGCUACGCAAUCUUUGUACGCCUAUAGGCUGUAUCAAGUGUCAAUCAUAGGGAACAUGCUCACUUAGCAAUAGACAGCUAUUAGACAUCCAAUUUUUUUAUUUAGAUCUAAUUUCAAUCGUCUAGAUUCUGUAUAUUUUUAGACGGAAUUUAGACGUUGCACUUUAACCCGUUAUUCAAUAACUAUUUAUUUCAAAAAGCAACUGUGAGCUGCAUAACUGAUCACCAAGUACUGAACCAGAAUAAUUAUGAUAGCUGUUGAGCAAAAUACAGUGUAGUAUAGAUAAAGAUUCAGACUUGGUCUAAAUUUAGAGGUCUAAAAAACGUUCAUUUUUAGACCUGUGGUAGCAGGUUUUAGACCAGUCGUUAAGGCUACAAUUGGAAGAUUUCUAUUCUGACAAAAUAAAGACAAAUAAUACUGAACAAAUACAACAACAAAAACAUGAUGUAGUUAGUAACAGAGGUGCAUUCUUUUCUCCUGACUUUUAUAGUAUCACUAGUUUUACAUCAAGAUGUCAUUCCCGUUCUUUGGACAACAAUCUGAUGUUUUCAGGCAUCACAGAGUCGACCGUGUUACAGUUUGGUUUGAUUCUGGAGUCUACAAUUGAUUUCAGACAAUUUCAGUGAAAAACAUCUCAAGACCGAAAAAAAAACCCAACAAAAAGGAACAAAAUCCCUUUUCAUGUCUGGAAAAAAACAGCUGGUUUAGCGCUGACAUUUAUCCUGCCGCUGACAAUAUGGGGGUCACACCAUGAGUCUAUUUCUGGUACCCGGUCAGUUUUUUUCAUGUUUCCUUCAGAGGAGAGAGUAAAUAUCUUCCUCAUCCUCUUCAUCCGCAGGCUGCCGACAUCGUCUGAAAGGACAGAGGGAUGUGGAGUCACAUCUUGGCAAAAACAACAGACAAUUGGUUAGGGUGACCGUAUUCUGAUCCCCAAAAAGAGGACACGACCCCGGGGUGGAGUCAUGGAGUCACACGUAGUACAUUUUGAGAGUUUUUUAAGUUGGGUUGAGUGUUUUCUACACAAUAAUAACUCAGUUAUUCCACACGACACAAACUCAAAACUUACCUACCGAAAAGAGGACGUAUGAUAACCCUACAAGUGGUGCUAGUUUGAUAAUGAGAGUGAAUCUGACAGACAGAGAUGUGGAUUGAUGUUUAUACUCUCUGAUUUGAUUGGGUCGUGGUUCAACAUUCUUCAUUAGAUCAGAUUAUUACAUUUCUACUAGAGCCUGAUCACUAAAUCCCUAUCAUAGCCAUAUAAGCAGGGAUACCUGACAUUCCACCUACACUUUCUUACCUUUGUCAUCAUCUGUCAGAUUUUUGGCUCCAAACACUUGGUGCUCACCUUCUUUUUCUGAAUAAACUGGUUGUGCAUUUUGCCGAGGAUUUUCCAGCCUCUGUUUUUCUUUUGCAGGUUGGUGAUGCAGUCUUUAAUUUAGAUCUUAUUGCUCAAUUAAAAUGAACACGGUUUACUAAAUCUGCGACCCGUUUCUCUUCAUGGGAUUUGGUUUUAGCUGUUGCAGUAUUCGCCCUCGUCAGCCACUGUAGCUCCCUCCCUUAAGAGCGCCGCACUCUCUGUUCCAACUUUCAUAACUUUAGUGAAAAAACUAAUCCAGGACAAAAUCUUCUACAAGAGAAGCUCAUUUGUUGGAAUGUCUGCAUGGCGUAUAAAACAGCAGUACACUCGGGAAUACUUUUCAGGAUUAUAAUACUUAGUGUAGGAAGGAAGUAUAAGGUGAGGAGUCGAAACAGGAACAGGCAGCAGACCUAACAAGCCCUGCGUCUUUGACGGCUGCAGCUGUGAAACAAUCACUCUACAAUUACCCCCCUGUCUAUGUGUCACGGUGCAUAAUGACAUUUAUUCUGCACGCCAUUUUUCUAGACCGGUUGCACUUGUGUGCAGGGUUAAAAUGAUUGCUGCAAUUACAUUUCCCUUAUGGAAGUGAGUAACAUAUGGCCGACACGCCGAAUCAGUGACAGAACAACAGACUUUAGUUUCCAAGGUUUCACUUUUAAUGAGAUUUAAAAAAAAAAAAGAAAAGGUUGUUCCUGCAUCUCAGUCUUAACACAUCUGAAAAAAAAACAAGAUUUCCUGUAAACAAGUGUCAGAAAACAAAGUGAAAACACAAUUAAAUCCUCCAACAUGUCUUCUGUAUGUGACAGUGAACGCAGAGAGCAAACACCAUUAUCAUCUUCAGCACCACCACCUCCACCAUCAUCAGCAUCAUCUCAUCUAUAAUCACAGUGAGAAUCCCUUUGGGGUGUUAUUUCCAUGGUUGAGCAUAGUCGUUAACACAGUGUGAAAGGGGAGCAAUGAAGCUCAGUGUCUGGUUGGUUAAAUCGCAUAAUAAGCUAUUAUAGCAGAAAAAUCAGUGCUGGCACAAUACCAAUUACUGAAAAUAAUGUUUUUUUUUGUCUUUUCAAACGGUCGUUUAACCGCCGUAUUGUGCUGACAGUGAUGCUUUUUCUUCUGUUCCAUAUUCACACUUGGCUAAUUACCUUCUGAAGGAAAAUUAGAUUUAGUUCAGUGGUGGGAAUCUACCUGAAACGUCUACGCAGCUGAGUAACCGAGUAUAAACCUCACUGACACUAAGAUUACCCGCAGCCAUCUGUAGCGGGCUAACCCCCAAUUUCCACCGCAUCCAGAACAGCUACGAAAAGGUCGUAUCCGCCAAUUGUAGCUGAUCGUAACAUUUCAAGUUAACGUGUCCAUUUCCACCGACUUCUUUCCGUUCCUCUGCGGAUCCCCGGACUCCUCAGCUGAUCACAAGAGUUCUAUUUUUUCUGGACGUGCUGGAAAGGAAGUCGGGCACAGACACAAAAUAAAACAUCCUGCUUCUUUUCAAAAUAAAACACUCCGUGUUUCAGGAGGAUCGUAUUUCACACCAUGCAAACGGGCGGAGACGAACAAGUGAAAGGUUUUUAGACGUCAUUUCACCCCGAUGACACCAUGGAUGAGGAGAUGCUGAUUCUAGAAGUCUAGAAGUAGAUUUCCUCCUCUGGAAGGAUACAAUCUACUGCUUUUAUAUCUAUCUAUCUGUCUUUAUAGAGACAACUUGUUACCGCACGUGAAUCUGCAGGUUCUUGUGAGUUCUCGCGAUUCCCGCUGUCCGUAAUCCGCCACGAAAUUCACCUCACAAAUGGAUCCGGUACUAAUUGGCGGAAGGUGAAAACCUCGCAGUUCCAGAUGCGGUGAAAAUUGGGGGUUAGCGGCAGAAAUACAUCAAAUGUAACCUAUAUAUGUGAUAUUAUAUUCAAUAUAUGACUUAUUUUGUAAGUUUAACCACAAACACAAAUAAUCAACCUGUUUUUAACCACACUGAUAUCAAUGACUGGCAGCAGGUAGAUGUUAAAGUUGGUGGCUGGUGUUCCUGUACAAAGUAAAAAAAAAACAGUUCAACUCUUAUGACACAGAAAAGCAUCACUGGCCACUUAAAAGGGGGCGGGGACUCUGGAUUAAAGCAAAAGUUCCAUUGAACAGGUUUAGUUACCUUCACGGUGUGCGGGUACAAAACUGCUGUCAGUGGACACAGGCCCUCGAUGUGCUUCAGGACGCCUCAGCAGGGUGAAAGGAGCUCUGUCAGAUUAAAUAAGGAAAAUCAAACAAUGCCAUGCAGAUUAAGAUUUAGAUGGAUUAGAUUGAACAUCAUAUUAUUUUAAAGUAGUUAAUUCAUAUUGUGGGAAAGAGGAAACAGUUGGAGAGGAGACAUCUAAUUCAAAACUUCAGCAUAAUAAAGUCUGGAUAUUAAAAAGUUCUGGAAAUGAGAGUUUUAAAAUUUCAUGGUAAGUUGAUAGAAAUGAUACAAAUUAUUAUUAUAUUUUAAUCUAAAAAUGCAGAAAGAGUAAUACUUGAGACGCUCUGGCCCACUCUCCAUUUCAGCAGGUGGUGAAACGCACUGACUCCCCGUUCGCCAACUGCCAAGAAAUUUUAAAUAAGGAGGAGAGGAAGAAAUCAAAUCCAGACUGGGCUUGAAAAAGACCGCUGUUUCUCUCUGAGUUUAUGUUUCAGGUUUUAGUAAGAGAUAUAUUGUGUAGACAGCAGCUUGUCGUUGUCCGACAGUGUAUAAAUACAUAGAUUCAACAGUGUUUGUCUGAGAUGGAAAUGCUAACAUGCCCGUCAAACCACUUGACCUCAAAUAAUCCAAAAUAAAUCAGCGAAUGUCAACAAAACAAAUGUUGAAAAGUUUUCUGACGCUUAUAAAACAGACAAAAAAUCAAGCUGUGACUGUCAAGAAGUUUGGGGUUCGUCAUUUAUCACACGGAUGAAAAUAAAACUGCACAUGUCUGGAAACGUUUGACAAAAGUCUAAUCUUUAAAGUUGAAAUCGUCACCAGACACCGAUAAAUGAUUAUAUUUGCAGUCUUAAAGUCAAGCUGUCAGAGCAACAUGCUGAAGUUUAUUCUUGUCUCGUUUCUCCUUUUCAGACAGAACUUUAAUUUAUGAGAUAAUGAACCCAAAUCAGAGCACAAAUAACCCGAUUAUUGGCAGAAAUCCUGGAGCUAAUCAAUCAGGCUGGACUGGUACUCCAUGUGGAAGAUAUCUGCCAUCCAAUCAGAGCUCAUCUGUUUCCACGAGAGAGGAGAGAGAAACGUUUAGAUUUGGUUCAUCGAGUAUUGUGCAGGACUUUUAAAAGUGCAGAAAUAAUGAAGUUGAAGUUGCUUCGUAUAUUUACAGUAUUACUUUGAAACAGAGAUGUUUACUUAUGUUCAAAGUGUGAGUUUUCAUAGGCUCAAAGACUCUGGUUCGAGUCCAAGCUGUCACAUAUGGCAACAAGCUGUCCCAAGACGCUCUGUGAUUCAACAGGGGGAAGCAGUCGGGAUAGUUUGGUCACGAAACGCUCUCUCUGCCAAUGUGAAGAAUUGGAUUGGCACAAGUGCGUCUGAGGAGCAGCAGAUCCAAAUGUCCCUCCUCGUGUUUCUCUCUCCUAUUGUGACACAAAAACAUCAUCCAUGUGCCGUUUGUCUCCGCACAAUGUCGGUCUAAAAAUACGCCACUGUUGUUUUGUAUCGAGACUAAAACGGCGUUUUAAACGCGUUUUCUUUGUCUUAUCUGGUCGAUAUGUGAAACUCUGAUAGGCAGGACUUCACUGUGAAUUUACCUUCAUACAAAUAUAAUUUUCCUGAAUCUUCUGUAUUCAUCUGACCUUGUGUGAGUGUGUGUGUGAAUGUGCAGACAGGUUUUGGUGUGUGUGUGUGUGUGUGCGGCUGUUUCAUACAUUUCGUUCCAACUCCAUCUGUCUCCGGCUGAAAGGCAGGUCUUCCGUCAGGUCUUAUCAGCUCUCCUCAGACUGUGGGCUGUGACUCAUUCAGGGGCCGUAGUCUGACACAUCUGAAGCCCAUCGAUGUGGCUGUGAAUGUUAACUCCUGCAGACUCCCGUCCCCGCCAUCUUCAACUUCAUGCUCUUAAGAGACUUUUACCUUUCACAGAAAUGUGCGCGCGCAGGAAAGGGCAGACCUCCUGAAUCCCGCUUUCUGUGUGUGAGACUGAGCGGUGAACAAAAUCAUGAAAACUCAAAACAGGCUGAGGUGAACUGGACUAUUGCAUGAAUACGGAUUAUUAAUUGAAAUAUAACAUGAAAUACUAUUUUUUUCUCUUUCUACAAAGUCUGUUUCCUUUUUUUGCAGGAAAAUAAACAAACAGACGCUCCAAAAAGACCUGUUUAUAUGAAUUUAGUCGUACUUUAUCAUUUCCUUUAAGUAAUAAUCACCAUAUUAAUCAUUUUACAGACGCGGUAGUUCUUCUGCCUUAGCGUCGAUCAUAAAUGUUCUUCCUUGAGCUGCGGCACCCCGCUGUAGUCUGUAAUGGACUGGCCUGAGGUCUGGCUACAAACAAGCGUCUGCUGGAAGAGAGUCGGUGAGUUUAGUGUUUAGGCAAAGUUAAAAAGUUGUUUGGUGGCUAGCAGGGCUGGACCGAUACAGAUUUUUUGGGGCCGAUGCCGAUUAUUAGGGGGGAAAAAAUCUGAUUACCGCUUAAUCGGCCGAUUUUUAAAAUUUUUUAUGAAGUUUUAAAAAUGUUGUUAAUUUAAGUAAAAUAUCUAGAUAUUCACUUAUUUGUUAACAAAUAUUAACAAAUGGCUGCUUAGAAUUAAAGUGCUUUGACGGGCACUGAUUAACCAAGACGAACAGAAAUAGUGUUGAAUUUUCUGUCACUGUUCCUCUUCCUCUAUGCUAAACAAAACUACUAAAACUAAACUUCUGCACAUGAAUCUGAUUAUUAAAAAAGCCUUCAAGGUUUUGGCUUCACUUUUAGUACCAGCUGUUAGGUCCAUCUUUUAUAUAUUUAAUAAAACGUAUCCAGAACAUGACUGUAACCCUUUUCUGAGCUGUUUUGACAGGAUGUAUUGUUGCUGUAUUGACCGGGCGUGCUCACCUUCCAGUUCGUCUUCAUCCCUCCUCCCUCCUCCUCCUCCUCCUCUCUCCUUCAUCGCUCUCUGGUGGGUACACUCCAUUGGUAUGCAGGCUGAUGUUGGCUGCUGUUUGCUGGGGAAGGAUAAAGCAGUAAUCAGUGCCAAUGAAGCAGCUCUUGUCCCAGAGCACAAAUGUGCCAACAUCAGCAACACCAACAGACUUUGUGUGUCAGUGUGCGUGCGUUAGUGUGUGUGUGUGUGUGUGCGUCUUUGGAAGUGCUGGUGUGGAGGAAGUGGAGCAGUACCAAGGAGGUCACACAGAGGUCAUUUUCUUUGACACAGAUGUUAAAUUACUGUUUUUUUUUCUUCUUCUGCACAGAGCCAGCUGUGCAAUAUGAUCACAUUCAUCACAGCGAAAUGACCGGCUCUGCUGUUGUGGGUUUUUUCAGGGUCCAGUCUGAGUCUGAGCCACAGCGAGGGAGAAGAAUACGCUUUAACAGACACAGACACUAUUUUAUACGAGAAAUUAAAGCUCCUGUAAGGAGUUUUUACUUGGUUUUGACACUGAUUGAAAUGGUACGGAUGCUUCAAGAGGACAUGCAAAGUAAAUAAGACCAUCAGGGAGAAGUAGGGCUGGGUGAUAUGGCCUCAAAUUUAUUUCAUGAUAUAUUCAUGAAUAUUUAUUUGACACCAAAUAUAUUGACAUGGGCAAAAUGACGUUGGUUAUAAUCAUAAUUUUGGUAUCUGUAAAUUUUCAGUUUAUCGCCCAGCCCUACUUGUUUUUACUUAAAACUUGGAAUUGCACUUGAAAGACUUUUAAGACAAACCAGCUCCACACAAUGAAAUAGAUUGACACUGAAGAUACCGAUAUGGGCAAAAUGACGUUGACUUUUGUCGUAAAUUUCGGUAUCUGUAAAUUUUCGGUUUAUUGCCCAGCCCUACAGAGAAGAUAGACACUUUCAUUCGCAGGGUCACAGCACACAGCUAAUCUUCUGGAUGAGUAAUACCAUAGACAGGAUGAGUUAUUUCAACACAACACUACUUGCACAUAAACAGAAUAGUAUCAGCAGGGAAAUAAGACAAAACACUUUGUGCACGUCAAACUGACGCACACCGAGAGUUCCUCAAAGGAGCUGAAAUAUUUGAUCUGAAUGUCGGACCCAGAGGCUCCGUUUUCAGUUCUGACUCUGCCGCUUUGACAAAUGUUCUGGGACGACUUCUGCUGAUUUAUUUCUCACUUUUGUUUGCUUAUCAUCGAAAAAAAGGCAAAAUAAAAGUGAGUCACAGAACAAAAACCGAAUCAGGAACAAUAUCCUCCCCGUGUAAGACGCCACCCUCAGUCAUCUAAUCCCAUCUUUUUGUCGACAGUUCAUCUAGUGCGACGGUGUCUACGAGCGCUGUACCUCAACGCUUCAGUGGAUGACUGAGAUUGUUGCCUCCAGCUGGCAGCUCAGACGCAUCAGUGUGUGUAAACAAACCUCACCCAGACAAAAAAAAAGGUUAAAAUAAUUAGUGUUGUGAGAUCAGCCGCCUUAACAGUGAUUAUCCUCCUCUGCUGUUUGAACCAGAGCGCAUUCAUCCCCCUGAUCUCCGAGCACAUUAGCACACAUUAACUUUGUUUGUCUUCCAAUUUGUGUUUCCCCUGUCAAUAAAGUUGUUUGAUUUCAAUGUUGACUGUGUUGAAUCUGUCAUUGAUAAAUCAAACCUUUUGUUUCUCUGUUUACGUUCAUGAUCCAGCCUCUUGUCUGUGUCUUUUCACGGUGAGAGUUCAUGUGCGGAUCUUUGCAGAGCGCUGAAAGAGGGUCAGUCCGGUUCAAUGACGACUUCAAAGAACAUUUUCAGCUGAUUCGUCAUCUAAUUGCUGUUCAUUCAAGUUACAUUCAGAGCUCCAGUUGAAUACAUGUACCUGCAGCAGUGAAACCAACCAGAGUAUGAAAGUACCUGAUAUAUGAUUAACUCUAGAAAGGACAUUUUUGAGGUUAUUACAUUAAGUUAAAGUUCCUGUAAGGACAAAAACCUCCACUGCUGCUCUUCAUACAGCCCACUGUGUGUUCCUGCUCUGCCCUCCGUCACACAGCUGGACACUAACAAAGAACUUUAGGGGCACAACGAAAAUUGAUGAAAUAAUGUGUGUCUUAUUGGUUGGCACUAGAGCAUGACACAGGAGUGGAUUUUCACUCCUGUUCCAUCCCACUACCAGAGCAAAAAUCCUGUCCCGUCCCAAUCCCGGAUUGGAGUAAAAAAAUUUAUCCUGUCCUGUCCCACUCCCGUAGAAUGACUCCCACUCGCAUCCUGCUCCCACUCAAAAUGACUCCGACUCCUGUCCCGCUUCUGUUUGAAUAAAACCAAACAUGUUGAAAAAACGAUGCAUUUUUUAUUUAAAAAAAAUAAAAAGGUAAAAGUGGCAGCCGAGUCAGUAGUAUAAAUAUAUCGUCGCUAUCCAAUAAAAAACACGUAUCUCCAAAUUUUUUUUUUUCAGGAACAUUGAAAAACUAUUUUAUUCAUAAACUACCUUACAGGAUAAACCCAAAAUACUGUAAUUAGACACAAUUAGGACUCAAAAUAAAAAUCUAUAUUUACACAGUCAUCAGUGACCUGUUUGAUAUUUUAAACGGACCAACGUGCUUUGCGUUGAAAGUGACAGUAGACAUACAUGUUUUUUUUUAAUAAUGCGCUUCAAUGACGUUUGGUAAUUUAUGAGCUGUGAGUUUCCCGUUUAUGUCCCACUAUGUUGAUAAACUAUGGAUAGCAGGCUAUAAAAGAUUUUCACAUUGCACAUUGGUUGUCAACCUUUUUGAGUCGCGACUCCCGAUUUAACAUGAACUAGUGUCCGUGACCGAGUGUGAGAGAGAAAAGAGCAACAGCUUUGCCUCUGAGGAUGAACUUCGGCUCAAGAAAUCUAACGUUCAGGUAAACAGCACUGUCAUGGUUAGAAAAAAGUUUGAGGUUUAGUGUAGCAUUACUCUGGACUAUAAUGAGUCAGUCACAGUGUAAAGACAUGACAAUACCAGGGCAAGAGAUACAAGCUUUGUUGACACUUCCGACACCCAAUGGAGAUGCUUGUUGAAAAGUUGAUUUUAUAAAAAGUCUUUCCAUCGGUCAUUUGGAGACACAAAGCUACGGGUUAUUAGGGAAGAUGACGGACCAUGCAUGAAUUGAAAAAAGUCCAGAUCGCUUAAAGUGGAGAUAUGUGUUUCUCAUUAGACAGUUACGAUACAACAUAAAGACAGGGCUUAAUUAUAGUGUUUUAUUUUUAUACUGUUUCAACAUUAUAUUGUUUAUUUUGUCUCAAACUGGACAGUUUUAUUCCUCCUCUCUGUGUUUCCUAAACUCCCUCAACAAUCGUACAAUCUGGCCCGCUGAGAGCAGAAUGGAAAUCACAGCGACAGAAAUAAACACAGAAUAAGGACAAAUUUGUGGCGUUGCACGAUUAUUUUAUAUCAUCAUUUCAAGACUGGAAGUGUUGCUGUGUAAAUUUCACCAAUUCGAUCUCAUACUGCAGAAACAUCAUCUAACAGUAAGAUAAAUGUCCUCACAGCAUCACUCACGGUGUUUACUUCAUAAAAAAAUCACCUGUGCUACUUCAUUUAAAAUGUGGAUGGUAAUGAAUGUCAAUGUACAAACAGCUCCAGAGGGUCAAAGGUCUGAGUCAGCGAGUCUUUCCAAGGUAAAGGAGGAAUUAGCAUGCAGGAAUUUAAAUUACAAAUGGGGUUUUGAUUGUCAAAAGAUGGAUGAUACCGAGGAGCUGCUGGAACUUUGUGAGGGCGUGCAGCCAAGACCACAGUGACGUGGUGUUUUUUUUUUUAGUGGAUGCACAAACAGACUGUAUGUGUUCCCACCUCCUCAAGGAUGUUUCUCUAUUGACUUUCCCCUGACAGUAAGGAUAGGCUCAGUGGGAGUGUGUCAGUUAUUAUCAGGCGCCACGGAGCAAUUUUGAUGUCACGAUUUCUGUACUUUGCACUUCCCACCAGCACAGACCUUACCUGAGGGGCACAGCAUAUGGGUUCUAUAAUAAACUUGUAGCUUUUGCUCUAUCUGAUAUCUCAAAUCAGGUCCUGAUAAGAAACAGCUUGUAGAUGAAAAGUCAGAUUAUUACUCAGGCUGUUUAUUAGAGUCUUGUAGAUAUACUGCGUUUAAACCAGGUUGUGCAGUUCGAUAACCGACUUCUUUUACCCGUCCUAAUGUCUCAGUCUUUCGUUAAUACCACUGCUUUAUGUUGCUUUUCAUGCAAGUUUCCAACAAUGCCACAGCUCUCCUUGGGUUUGCAAAAGCGUUAUCUCCUCCUAGGCUAAUUUAAUUUAAGACGCUGUGUAUUUACUCGUGUUGAGUAAAUACUGUACCUCCCGCACAAGGACACUGAAUCCCCUUGGGAGAAUCUUUUGUGGCAGCUGUGCUGAAGGCCGCUCUCAUCAGGAAAUGCAGAGUGCACAGCUUUCGCAGGAAAGUAAAAGCGGCGGUGAUAAGAUUGGUUAUGACUGAUGCCAGCCGCUACCAAACUAACUGAUAAUGUAUUCCCCCAGAACUCAGACUCUCAUGAGCCGUGCUGGAGUCCUAUCGUCUGGACUAAAACUACAAAGUUUGCUCACAUCAAAGCUAAGCUCCUUUUCUUUCUGUUUAUGUUAUUUGGUUUUACGCUGGAGCGGCUGUGUUGCAACAACAGCUCUGACCUUGGAGGUCUGGCUUCUAAAAGGUUUCAUGUAUGCAGAGCCGGAGAGCUGAACAGAUCCACGACUGUGACAGAUCCACACCCCUCUGAACCACCAAUUACAGUUAUCUACAAUUACCUGCAUUUUAUAUCUGUAAAACAACUUAAAACCUUUUAAAUCUCAGUUGCACGAAUGUAAAUACAUCCAAUAUUGCACUACAGCAUAAUUUAUCUGUCAUAUUCUAAUAUCUAUAGUCUGUUUACAGCCUUCAUAUUUAUAACCAUAUGUAUAAUCUGUUCAUAGCCUGUACAUGCUUAUAGUAAUAGCAUAUUCAUAACAACGUCAUAUACCCCUGAUAUGCUCAUGUAUCUCCUUCAUACCGUGUACAUUUGUAGAUAUAUUUCUGACUUCCUUUUAAGGAUUUUAGAUUUAUUUUAAAUUUUUUACUUAUCAUGUUUUUAUGUAUUGUCUGUCUAAUAUUUCUGGUUUAUUCUCCCAAAAUAUCAACUUAUAUUAUCCCAGUAUCACAGAGAUCAGCCUCGCUUUUAUACUCUUCAUUCCUUGGCGAUGAUUUUGACCCCUGAAUGAGAUCGUAUGUGAUACUAUUGUGAUAUUUUAUGUGUUUUUCUCGUAUAUUUUCAUGCACAAUCUCAUGCACAUUAUUAGUCAUCCCACUUCUGUUUCCUUCGCCACAAUGCUAGUAGCCUACGGGUCAAAUUGUACAUUUCCGACUUUGGAUAAAGCUAAUGUUAGCAUUAGCUUGACCGAGAUUCAAUGUACAUUUCUGACUAUCAUGGUAAAUGGACAGGGAAAAUGUCAUAGAUGGAGCCUACAGACAAAGACAACAGUUUUAUUAAUUACUAAAAAAUCAUGUGAUUCAUGUUUGAUACUCGAAUGACGUCGCUCAAUCUGAGCCGAUAACUUUCGAGAAAGAAACAGGGGUGGAUCUGUCACGGUUGUGGAUCUCCGGCUCUGCAGACACCACCUACUCGUUUCAUGAGUUCUAGUAUGUUCCCCCCCUUCUGGACUAAGCUCGACUUAGAGUGUGUGUGUGUGUGUGUGUGUGUGUGUGUGUGUGUGUGUGUGUGUGUGUGUGUGUGUGUAACCAGCAUGUGACUGCCUGCUGUGUGGCCCCGUCUCUUGUCUGACAUGCCAGCCUAAUCUGCUAUCAAACAGCCUCACAGACCUUUGCCUCUUACAAUGGCUGCCUAGCCCUGAUUAGUGUGUGUGUUUGCGUGUGUGUGUGUGUGAGUGUGUGUGUGUGCGUGAAGGUAAAAGGAGGAACAAGGAGGACAAUAAGGCGUGAUGAAGGGGGUUCAAAUAAGGGGCAAGGUGGGACAUUCCUUUUUAUGGAUUGCAGAGCCCAGAGACUGUACAAACUCACACACACACACUUACACACACACAUAUGAACACACACACACACACACACACACACACUCACAGCUUUACAUGAUUGCACACAGAGUCUCACAAAGAUUAAAGGCAGAGUUGUGUCGCAGAGUUACCUAUAUUUCACGCGGUAAAGUGGCGAUGGUUAUAAUGCAAUCUCUUCCCAAGAGCCCCCUAGUGGCCCCAUAAUACGUCAGGAGACACCCGCUAAUAAAAGAGCUAUUUCACAGCCACACAGGCAGUAAAUUCACGUGCCAUGAGCCGAACUUGCGUCGGCUCUUGUGGGCUCAAUCUCCAUCAGGACUUUCGUUUACAGUUGUUGCGCUCAUGUCCAUAUUUGCAAUUUCAUGCAUCCAAGCACUAUUUCAUUUCCUCUCAAUGCGAAACUUUGGCACGGAGAGCUUCCAGCAUCAUCUGCUCUUUGGGGUCUCGACUGUGUAUGAACUUAAAACUUAAAUUGAAGUUGAAAAAAAAAAAAAGAGCAUGCUGGAAGAAAAGGGAUGAAGUCGCAGAGCGUAAGCUAAAUGGCAGCAGCUACUUAUUUCUUCACCUUCUGAGGCGUGUUUGCCAGGUGACUAUUAAUGUUCAAUCAGUGAUCGAUCAGAGCCAUUCAACGUCGGUGUCACACUGGAGUUCAUCCUUCACCAACCGUGUUAUUUUGUUGUCAGGAAUAUGCUUUGAAUAUUCUUUAAUUAGCGGCCCACACACACUUUGUUUUUAAGUAUGCUUUUAUGAGGUCUGUCAAACUGUCUUCUUGAAGCCCCCAUCCUGAAUUAGUUUCAGUUUUCAGGGUCAAGUACGGUCCAUUUGAGCCGAGCUGAAUGUCAGCCUGUAAAUAACCACCUCGGACAGAGCUGCUCUCAACCCCAUCAUCGAGUGCUCGAUAUUUCUGAAGCCAGCGUGAUGAAAUUUGUGACAGCUUUACAUCCCGCUGACACAAAUGGACGGAUACGGUAAACCUUGAACAGCCCUGUACUCCACUCAAAAACAGCAACUUAUGCUGGAUUAUGACAUCCAAACAUCGACACCCGGGGUCACCAAAACUUAACCUCUGCUAAAAAAAAAAAAAAAGGGCUUCUUUGGCUCAGCGUAAACGCAGCUUUUGGCGUUUCUGCAGCCAGCCUCAAGUCGACACUUGGGGAAAUGCAGAUUUUAGCAGUUCAGCAGGUGUCAAUGACAAUAACAUAGGUAAGAGUCAUGACAAUGAGACAAACGCGAGGUUGAAACCAAAAGGAUAAAACGAUGCAACAAGGCUUACCCCCAAACUACAACAAAAGUGGAACAGCAGCGAAAAGGCAGAUGAUCAGCGCCGAUUGCCGCUGAUCGUUUCCAUUUAAGUUAAGGUGUCAAAUUCCGGUGGCUUCCUGCGGUUCAGCGGACUCCGCAGCCUAUCGCCAGUCUUCUAUUUUUUCCGAACACAUGCCGUAUAAAUUCAGCACAGAUUAGCCUGGGUUGGAAAGGAAGUCGGGCAAAGACACAAAAUAAAACAUCCGGCGUCUCGAAGUGAAAAGGUUUUCAGACCUCAUUUCAUCCCGAUGACACCAUGGAUGAGGAAAAAGACAUACUCAUAACAUGUUAUUUUAUAAUCGGUUUCAUGGAUAUAGAUAAAUAUUGCACUUACCCAUGGGUAAAUCCCAAUCUCCACAAAACGUCUGAUCUGCUGGUCUGGACAGAGUAGAUUUCCUCCUCUUGAAGGACACAAUCUACUGCUUUUAUGGUUAUGUGGCUGUCUUUAUAUAGACAACUCGCUAUCACUCGAUUGCAUGUGAAUUCGCAGGUUCUGUUGAGUCCUCACGAUUCCAGUGAAAUGUACAGCCGUUCCACAUGCAGCGGAAUUUGGGGGUCAGCGUAAACGUGGCUUUUGGUGUUUCUGCAGUCCUCGAGUCAAGACUUGGGUAAAUGCAGAUUUUUCUGCAGGUGUCAGUGACAAUAACUCUGGUAAGAGUCAUAAAAAAUGAGACAAACUCAAGGUGUUUGAUCCUGAAACCAAAAGGAUUAAAUGAUACAAGGCUAAGAAUCAUUCGAGGAUUUUACAAAAGCCUGUUACUGUAACCAGACGUUUAAAUACACCUUGUGAUUUGUGCAAUUCCUACAACAAAUAAACGGAUUACAGAAGCUGUUGAGUAUCCAGAAAAGGAAAAUACUUCUGUUUGGGUGAAAAACAGAUUUAAAAAGUAUAAAAAGCUUGUGUGAAAAUGUUCUGACAGUUGUGGAAAAGGAUUUUAGUGGUACUGAAAUACCAGCAGGAAAAUAGAAGAUAAAAGCCCGGUGAAUGGUCUGUGAUUUUUGCAGCCAGACCAGCAGGAAAUCAAAUAUCCUUUUCUGAGUAAAUGUGAACCGUACAUUCAAUAACCUUCACCGUUAUACAUGUUAGAAAUGAGUCAAAGGACCGAAGCUCUUACUGCCCCUCACAAUGAGCGGAAAAGGUUGCGAAAUGUAGGGCAGAGAGCCGACCCUCUCCCUGAGAGCGGGGGGUAAAAAUGGCUUUCUCAGUCAGUUGGAGGUCAGGCGUUGACUGCCGGAAUAGAUUUUCAUUCCAGACACAGGUAGUACGAGAGAGUCCCGCAUCCCGCUCUCCCCUGGGCUUCAGGCAGCCUGUUAAAAUGCUGAAGGCUAAAUGCAGACACUCUUGAACAUGGACACACACUCUCAUAGGCACACACACACACACACACACCGGCACAGCUCUGAGCCUGCUCUGAUUUCCCAAAUCGUCCUCCAAUUGAACAUGUAUGUGAGCAUGAGCAGAUGAGAUGUAGUCCUCUAGCUCAAGUGCCCUUGACCACGUCCACCUCUCCUGAAAAACAAAUGUUGUCUUCUCCUCUUUUGUCCGUCAUUGGCCGUGUCCUCCUCUCUAUCCUCAUCCAACCUCCGAGUACCUCGUCCACCUCUCUUGACUUCCUACCUCUCUUUGUUUCGUCUCUUUUCUCAAGUGUUACACCAACUAUUUCAAAUAUCUCCUCUCUCCUCUCUUUCUUCAUUCUUGCUUUUUUGCCUGUGAAUCUUCCCUCACUGACAUUUCUGGUCAAUAAUCUUAAGGGAAACAUGCGCUUUGAAUCUAAAACAGAACCUGCUAUUUCCCAAAGUUUCGGGUGAAUCACAGUAUCUUCCUUUCUGUCCAUCUCCUUCUUCUGAAUGUGCCUUCACAAAACUCCCUGGCUAUGUCAUACAGUACACUUCUGUUUCUCCAUGCUGUUCUCCUUUAUUCCCACACCUCUUCUUCUUCUUCUUUUUGCAUGAAGACGUCUUUGUUAAAUGUAUGAAAGGAGGAGAGGAGGGAGAACUUGGCAGAAUAAGAAUUCAAUCAGCGGAUGCCACCGAAAAACAAAAAGCAGAAAAGGCGAAUGCCGGCUUAUCUCGACAAUAAAGCUGCGUGCUUUCUGUCGACAACAACAUCUUUUUCCAACAAACAUCUCUAUACUUUGCGGCGAUAGUGUCAUGGGAGCUCAUUGUCAAAACAUUAGCUGUCCAGGUUCACCAACAGCAGCAGGCGUUUACAAUUACCCCUUUUAUGUGAGUUUGGAAAAGCCCAACGCUGACUGCAAAGCCAAGGGUAAAAACAAAUGUCUGUCUCUAGAACUUUUUACUGCAGUAAACAAAACACUUACACAAAAGUAGAGAAUUAAUGUUGUCACUCUUCACAACGUUUAUGAUCAUUCAGGUGAGUUAAACUCGUGGACAGUCAUUGAAUAGUUUCUGCAGACUAGGACGAGGGAAAAACACAUACCUGUUUUUGUAGUAUGUAGUUUUGGCGCUGUGGGCAGGUGAUAAUGGUGCGUUCCAGUUGUUCUCAGAUGUAGGAAUUUAUGAGCUCAGAGUCAGAACUUUCAACUGGAAUGAACGUCGAGGUUGGAUUUCCGACUUGGAAAGUUGAACGAUCAACACAGUCCCCGAGUUGAUGUUUAAAGAUGGCAGCAUUUUGUAAACAAUGAAAUACUUAAAAAGAAAAAAUAGCCUACCUCCUGCGCCUUUGUGUUUCCUCUUCAUCCACUGUGUUUGCAUUUCGCAGAAGAACCUCAUAUUUGUCCAGAAGUAGCUUAUAUUAGGACAAGGCAAGCGCUAAGAUAACUUUCGUAGAUGUAGCCAUCUUUUUCCGACUUGGUAACUGAAACGAUGGUAACUUGGGUGUGACGUCAUUCCCAGCUCCGACACCUGACUUCCGAGGUAACUUGAACGCACAAUAAGUCCUGCUGGAAGUAAUAGCAGGAAUAGUAAAUCAUGAUAAAAAUUUUGAUGAUAACGAUUACCAUUCUAAUUUCAAAAGCUGGUGCAUGUGUAUCGGGGGUUUCAUGAAUCAGCUGUGAGAUCACCGAUGAUAACUCGCCAAUGCUAAUGCUCAGCGCGAAUGCUCUGCGGUGCGCCGCACAUAUGUAUACUGAUACAUGAGUCCGAGGUAAGAAGAAAACUCAUUUGUGGCAGCGUGCCACGAUUAAUUGCAUGUAGAUGAAACUCCCUGUUAAUCAGCUUCAUCUGACUCGCCUUAAGUAUCUGUGCAGGCGAGCUGUGUAGCCUACAAUUUGCAUUUAUACUUUCUAUUAAGUUUGAAAUGGAAUCAUGGUGGACGGAGGAGACCACAGCGCCAAAGACAUCCAUCAGCCCUCUAGAGGACUCAGUCGGAAGUAUGGGCAUAUUUUAAGUUUUGUAGGAAUGUCGAGGAAACGCUUAAUUGAAGAUAGAAAUCAUGUCUAAAUACGAUGAAACGACAAAAACAAGGCAUCGUUAAGCGCUAGUUAAAAGCGUCAAAAACGUAAUUAAUGCCUUUGAAUACAUUUUUUAAAAUACUGCAGUAAUACUGGAAAACAUGCUUAUUUUGGUCAAAAUAACCGUGAGGUAGUAUUUUCAUACUGUUACAUCCCUAGCUGGAAGAGAGUAUCAGCAUCUUCAUGAAGUUUGUCAGGUGAUGAAGCAUGAAGCGCCUCAGUUUAUUGAUGGACAGCUAAAUUAUCUCAGACUUCAGACACCUGCCAUACCAUCCCUAUUUGGUCCAUCAGGUCCUUGUUAUCACUUACGGUAUAUUAUAAAAACAUCUCCUGGUGUUGAACAGUUUUAACCCACUACUAUCUUGUUUACUUCCUGUUACAUGUGAGUAAAUGUAUAUAAGGGAUAGUGUAAGCUUGGCGUUUCCUGACAUGCUUCAUACCAUCCUGUCUUUAUCUGUUUUUUAUUUGACCUGUGUGAGAUUAAACACAUCCAUUUGUUCUUCUUUACAGACACUAUUGUCCCCGGUUGGUUUUUCCCUCUCCUUUCCUUCCAGCCCGUCUCUUUCUAUUGUCCUCCAUCACUCUGUCUUUCUCUCAUCUCUGUCAGCAUCUUAUUUUCUUCUCUCUGUGUGCUAUUUCCCUGCUGCGUGGCUCCUGUCAUGCAUUUUGCUGUUUGGCUGUCAGUUCAGCCGGUCUGUGGCCUGUGCUACGGUAUGCAUAUGCAAUUUAAUUACUGAUGCUCCCCUCUGACAGCCAGUUCAGCUCUGUAAAGAUCUCGGCUCUUUCUAAUAUCCCAGGAGAUAUUGUUCAGUGUGCAGUUUGAACAGAGAAGAAUGUCUUUUACAUUUAGAUAGCUUGUGUGUGUCUGAAUUGUUUUACAUAUAGUAUUUUGUUAUGGAUGUAAACAUUGGCUACUGUAAUUACACACUGCUCAUUUGACGUUUGUUUUUACAAGGUGAACUAUCAGUGAUCAUUUGUUCCAUUAUUCUACGACAACAACAGAAACACUUACUGCAGAGGUGUCAUCAUAAUAAAUACCAUAAACCUGCACAGGUGAACCUUGCUAAUGGCAAAAUUCUAAAGACACCAGUUCAAUACUGCUCGCUCUUUUUGAUCGCUGUAAAUAUUUAUUGUAGUUUGCUAUUCAUAGUUCCCACUGGAUGAACCUCACUAACGUUAUUGAUUCCUUUAUUGAUCCCCAACCAUGGUGUUCACAAAUAUGAAGAACUACAGGUUUUUUGAGCGUUACAGGUUACAGACGAGGCUCCUGGAAUUAGGAAGACAUUAAAAUUAUUCACACUAGUAAAAACAUUUGUGCGAGUAAAAUCAUUCGCGCGAAUGAAUUACAUGUUAAGCCAACACAAAGACGCGAUUAGACGCUCCUACUUAUCUGGCAGCGUCAAUGACGUGAAUUGGGCAAGAGCUGAAAAAGUCUCAAUUUGAGUGGGUAUUUGUGUCACGAUAUUUGUGACGUAUGAUAACGGUUGUUCACUGGUAACUGAAGUCGGUGUGUGGGUGCCCCGAUUUAUAUACCUUUUCUUUCAGUUACCAAAACCAGAAUAAAAAGGAGCUCACCCAGAGGCAAGUGAGUGUGGAGGUCGGAUUACCUUGUAAAUUGUUAAAAACCUUUGUCUAUCACUUGAUCCCACCGGUUGAAUUGACAGGGAUUACUAUUGAAAUAACCAGUGACGCGCAAAUGAGUGAGUAAAUACUAUUUAUUCACGCAACUAGAUUCGCGUGAAUUAAGCGAGUAGAUGAUUUUACUCGUGCUCGGUACGAUUGGACUAAUCUCCAUGAUGCUUGACUCCAACAUUCCUGCUCCCUGAGGGUUAACUGCUGACACCUCCAGUUUGUUUAAUUACACAACAAAGACUAAACUUACCACUUGGAUUUCUUACUAUUCACCUCACUGUGUUGAGUACUUGAUUCUGAUUGUUUAAAAGCCCAUAGCAACUGUUAUCAGACCAGAGUAAACCAGAUCACACGUUCUGGCACAUUAUUAUUUUUUAAUUGACACCGAAGUAAACAGUUAGUUCCCAUUGGCAUACUGAUAAGUCAGGUUAAAACAAAAUGGAUAUUUAAAAAUCCGGUCCUGUCCUGGCCUUCAGGCAACAGCAGCAGAGCUGUCGAGAGCAUAUUUAUUCACCGACAAACAACCUUAAACCCUGAGCGGCAGCGGUAAAGCAAUUGUAUUAAAAGUUGUAACCUUUACCUAAUUUAUUUUUAAAGAAGUGUCGACCACGUAAUUUGACGAAUGAGGACAAAAGUCAACAUUUAUAUUCUUGGAGAAGACCCAUUCAACCUUGUCUAACGUAGCUGUCAGUGGACUGAUUAUUAUAUUUUCAAGCUACAUCUUUAACCCUGACUGUUAACUGAAAUGUUCAGUCUCAGAAGUCUGUACAAAAAUAAUCAAUUCCUUGGUUGAAUCAUCUUUAAAUCAAUAGUCAGUGUCAAUUUUUCCAUGACCCUCGAUAGGCGGGUAAUAAGCAGGGAAUGCAUGUGGUGUGGGUGGUUAUUUAGGUUAUAUAGAGACUUGACCCUGACGCAAAGCUUCAGCAUAUUUUAUCAAUUCUGUGUCUGACAGGGAGGCACUCGAGGGCUAAGAGAGAACAUGAACAAAACGGCACGUACGGAGGAACAAGCCUAAUCUCUUCAUACACAGACAGGUUGUCAUUUGUCAGCCAGCCAAGGCGAGAGGAGAAAUUAAACUUGAAAGUUACACUUGCCGGCAACAGUGUCAAUUUGCAUUUAAAUAUGUUUGACCCCCCUGCAGCAAGUCCCUCUUUUGUCGGAUGGGUUACAGUAAUUAAGCCCAAUUACAAGGAUCUGUUUCGUCUUUCCUCUUAAUUUUAGGGUGCCCAUGCAUGAAAAAUGGGGCUUGUUGAAGAGUCGGUCGUUUCAACCAGAAGAGUCACAGGCUACAGUCGUAAAAGGAAGGAGAACGAAAACACUAAAUGGUCAGAAAACACCGUCAUAAGG
Non-coding RNA from Xyrichtys novacula (pearly razorfish), 22219 nucleotides. Lineage: Eukaryota; Metazoa; Chordata; Actinopteri; Labriformes; Labridae. The record is from the annotation of a GenBank genome assembly.